This 517-nucleotide ribosomal RNA is filed under the name uncultured bacterium. RNAcentral describes it as "bacterial SSU rRNA". It matches the Rfam family "Bacterial small subunit ribosomal RNA", at positions 39 to 561 of the family's 1533-position model. The record is from RNAcentral.
CCGGCCUGCCCUUAUGCUGCAAGUCGAACGGUUUUGGUUUUCGGACCAAGAUAGUGGCAAACGGGUGAGUAACGCGUAAGUAACCUGCCCCUAAGUAGGGGAUAACUCUAAGAAAUUGGGGCUAAUACCUUAUGUGGUGGUGGAGGUAAGGCUUUAUCACUAAAGCCGAAAGGCGCUUGGGGAGGGGCUUGUGUCCGAUUAGCUAGUUGGUAGGGUAACGGCCUACCAAGGUAAUGAUGAGUAGCCGGCCUGAGAGGGUGUACGGCCACACUGGAACUGCGACACGGUCCAGACUCCUACGGGAGGCAGCAGUAGGGAAUUUUGCGCAAUGGGCGAAAGCCUGACGCAGCGACGCCGCGUGGAGGAUGAAGGCCUUCGGGUUGUAAACUCCUGUCAGAGGUGAAGAAUGCCCUCUUACGAGGGUUUGACGGUAACCUCAGAGGAAGCCCCGGCUAACUACGUGCCAGCAGCCGCGGUAAUACGUAGGGGGCGGGCGUUGUCCGGAUUUAUUGGGCGU